RNAcentral lists this ribosomal RNA (495 nucleotides) under uncultured bacterium. Its description in RNAcentral is "partial 16S ribosomal RNA". It matches the Rfam family "Bacterial small subunit ribosomal RNA", at positions 28 to 507 of the family's 1533-position model. The record is from RNAcentral.
GACGAACGCUGGCGGCGUGCCUAAUACAUGCAAGUAGAACGCUGAAGGAGGAGCUUGCUCUUCUGGAUGAGUUGCGAACGGGUGAGUAACGCGUAGGUAACCUGCCUGGUAGCGGGGGAUAACUAUUGGAAACGAUAGCUAAUACCGCAUAACAGUGGAUGUUGCAUGACAUUUACUUAAAAGGUGCAAUUGCAUCACUACCAGAUGGACCUGCGUUGUAUUAGCUAGUUGGUGGGGUAACGGCUCACCAAGGCGACGAUACAUAGCCGACCUGAGAGGGUGAUCGGCCACACUGGGACUGAGACACGGCCCAGACUCCUACGGGAGGCAGCAGUAGGGAAUCUUCGGCAAUGGACGGAAGUCUGACCGAGCAACGCCGCGUGAGUGAAGAAGGUUUUCGGAUCGUAAAGCUCUGUUGUAAGAGAAGAACGAGUGUGAGAGUGGAAAGUUCACACUGUGACGGUAUCUUACCAGAAAGGGACGGCUAACUACGUG